RNAcentral lists this long non-coding RNA (701 nucleotides) under Homo sapiens (human). RNAcentral's name for it is "non-protein coding lnc-TNP1-5:4". The record is from RNAcentral. Lineage: Eukaryota; Metazoa; Chordata; Mammalia; Primates; Hominidae.
CAGCAAAGUUCAAGGAACUUAUGGUAAAGAUCAAUCACACUUAUGGCACUGCCAACAGAAGCACAUGCUUGUGGAAAAUAGCGUAAAAGAAUUUUAAGGAGGAGAGCUGGGCUCUGAAUUACACCGGAGGCAGAGCGUCUGGACAGUUUUCAUCAGAAGCCACGUCCUAGAGGUAGCGAGCUGUAAACAGUCGUUAAAAGCAACGGAGGAAUGUGUUAGGGUGGGCCCAGGAAGGUGUCAGGCCACGGCGGGCACGUGAGGGAAUGGGCACAGCCUUCAUUGUAGGCACAGAAGCUGGAGCCAGCGGGAGGAGGCAAGCGGGCAACCGAACAGAAUGAUGAGAAAAACCGAAGCUCAGGGAACAUUUCCAAGACCAAGAGCUGAGAACGCUGCGGAGCUGAAAUUUAAAUCCAGUUUGUCAGACCCCCCCAAUCCGACAUUGUCCCCUCGUCCUGCCAUGGCCCAUAUCCCAGGAGGACCUGUCACCAUCCUCCACCUUGCCCAGGCUAUCCUAUGGAUGCACUCCUCCCACCAUCUGCUCUCCCAAGCUCUGCUGAAACCCCCCUGCCUAGAACAAUUUGCUUCGUAGCUGACUUUCCAUAAACAUUCAUACAAUGGAUACAGAAAUGACACAGAGGUCAGCAUCAGAACCCAGGAUCCCCCAAAGCCCUGUUUCUCUCUUUCACAGCCUCUCUCUACCU